This 458-nucleotide ribosomal RNA is filed under the name uncultured Lachnospiraceae bacterium. RNAcentral describes it as "bacterial SSU rRNA". It matches the Rfam family "Bacterial small subunit ribosomal RNA", at positions 26 to 507 of the family's 1533-position model. The record is from RNAcentral. Lineage: Bacteria; Bacillati; Bacillota; Clostridia; Lachnospirales; Lachnospiraceae.
ACAUGCGAAGUACGAACGGGGAGUGCUGACGGAAGGGGUGGCUUGUCACUUUGGAAUAGAGUAGUCUUAGUGGCGGACGGGUGGAGUAACGCGUGGGUAACCUGCCCACUACCGGGGAUACACCUGGAACAGGUGCUAAUACCGCAUAAGCGCACGGAGCGCAUGCUCCUGUGUGAAAAACUCCGGUGGUAUGGAUGGACCCGCGUCUGAUUAGCCAGUUGGCAGGUAACGGCCUCCAAAGCGACGAUCAGUAGCCGGCCUGAGAGGGUGGACGGCCACAUUGGGACUGAGACACGGCCCAAACUCCUACGGGAGGCAGCAGUGGGGAAUAUUGCACAAUGGGGGAAACCCUGAUGCAGCGACGCCGCGUGAGUGAAGAAGUAUUUCGGUAUGUAAAACUCUAUCAGCAGGAACGAGACAAGACGGUACCUGACUAAGAAGCCCCGGCUAACUACGUG